Molecule: long non-coding RNA, 4056 nt
Filed under: Salmo salar (Atlantic salmon)
Lineage: Eukaryota; Metazoa; Chordata; Actinopteri; Salmoniformes; Salmonidae
Description: lncRNA (ENSSSAG00000116552.1)
Rfam family: UnaL2 LINE 3' element (bases 287-340)
Source: RNAcentral
GGCACUGCGUUCAUCCACCACUGGCCUGCUGGCCCCCCUACCUCUGAGGAAGCACAGUUCCCGCUCAGCCCAGUCAAAACUGUUCGCUGCUCUGGCACCCCAAUGGUGGAACAAGCUCCCUCACGACGCCAGGACAGCGGAGUCAAUCACCACCUUCCGGAGACACCUGAAACCCCACCUCUUUAAGGAAUACCUGGGAUAGGAUUAAGUAAUCCUUCUAACCCCCCCCUUAAAAGAUUUAGAUGCACUAUUGUAAAGUGGUUGUUCCACUGGAUAUCAUAAGGUGAAUGCACCAUUUUGUAAGUCGCUCUGGAUAAGAGCGUCUGCUAAAUGACUUAAAUGUAAAUGUAAAUGAACUGGACAAAGAAUUGUUCUGUAAUGAGUCGGACGAGAGGAAUUUACUCCAGACACCCAACAAGGCCCUCUUCCCCAUCAUUCGCAGCAGAAAGAGACAGAGAUAUUGCGGAAGGAGGUUGGGGUGUCUUGUAAGGAUCCGGCGACAAGUGGCUAAUCUGCCUUUACCAUCGGAAAUAUUGGCCAACGUACAAUCAUUGGAUAAUAAAGUGGACAAACUACAAGCACGUAUAUACUAGCAACAGGACAUUCAAAACUGUAAUAUCUUAUGUUUCACCGAGUUGUGGCUGAACGACAACAUGAAUAACAUGGGUUAUACACUAUAUCGGCAGGAUAGAACAUCAGCCUCUGGUAAGACACGGGGAUGCGGUCUAUGUAUAUUAGUAAACAACAUCUAGUGCACGAUAUCAAAGGAAGUCUCAAGGUUUUGCUCACAUGAGAUAGUGUGGUCUACAGCUUAUCAUGAGAGUUUUCAUCUAUAUUCUUCGUGGCUGUCUUUUUACCACCACCAACCGAAGCUGGCACUAAGACCGCACUCAAUGAGCUGAAUACCGCCAUAAUGUCACGCCCUGACCAUAGAGAGCCCUUGGUUCUCUAUGGUGUAGUAGGUUGGGGCGUGACUAGGGGGUGUUCUAGUUCAUUAUUUCUAUGUUGGUGUUUUGUAUGGUUCCCAAUUAGAGGCAGCUGGUAAUCGUUGCCUCUAAUUGGGGAUCAUAUUUAGGUAGCCUUUUUCCCACUUGUUUUGUGGGAUAUUGUUUGGUUUUGUGCUUGUUGCACCACGUAGUCACGUUUUGUUGCUUGUUAGUUGUUUUGUUGAAGAAGUUACACAUUAAAUAAAUAUGUGGACCUCAACACACGCUGCGCCUUGGUCCAUCUCUUACAACAAACAUGACACAUAAACAAACAAAAAAGGGCUCAACCAGAAGCAGCGUUCCAAGGGGCCGGGGACUUUAAUGCAGGGACACUUAAAUCAAUUUGACCUUAUUUCUACCAGCAUGUUAAAUGUGCAACCAGAGGGAAAAAAACUCUAGACCACCUUCACUCCAGGAUGAGAUAGUGAAGGCUUUGUGCUCAUAAACAAAGCUCUCCCUCGCGUACCAAGCUCUCCUUCACCCUCUAUUUGGCAAAUCUGACCACAAUUAUAUCUUCCUGAUUUCCUCCUUACAAGAAAGAAACAUCUGUACUGAGCUACAGGGUAGAGCUGCUGCUUUCAAGGAGCGGGACUCUAACCUGGAAGUUUAUAAGAAAUCCUGCUAUGCCCUACGACAAACGAUCAAGCAGGUAAAGCGUCAAUACAGGACUAAGAUCGAAUCGUACUACACCACCUCCGAUGCUCGUCUGACGUGGCAGGGCUGGCAAACUAUUACAGAUUACAAAGGGAAGCACAGCUGCGAGCUACCCAGUGACACGAGCCUACCAGAUGAGCUAAAUUACUUCUAUGCUCGCUUCAUGGCAAGUAACACUGAAACAUGCAUGAGAGCAUCAGCUGUUUCAGACAACUGAUCACGCUCUCCUUAGCUGAUGUGAGUAAGACCUUUAAACAGGUCAACAUUCACAAAGCGCAGAGCCAGACGGAUUACCAGGACGUGUACUCCGAGCAUGGGCUGACCAACUGGCAAGUGUCUUCACUGACAUUUUCAACCUCUGUCUGAGUCUGUAAUACCAACAUGUUUCAAGCAGACUACCAUAGUCCCUGUGCCCAAGAACACUAAGGUAACCUGUCUAAAUGACUACCGACCCAUAGCACUCACGUCUGUAGCCAUGAAGUGCUUUGAAAGGCUGGUCAUGGAUCACAUCAAUACCAUUAUCCCAGAAACCCUAAACCCACUCCAAUUUGCAUACCGGCCCAACAGAUCUACAGAUGAUGCAAUCUCUAUUGCACUCUAUUGUAAUCUCUAUUGUAGUUUGUCCAAUUUAUUAUCCAGUGAUUGUACGUUGGUGUCACGAUUCCCACCGACGGUGGCGCCCCCUCCUGCUCGGGUGGCGCUCGGCGGUCGUCGUCACCGGCCUAUUAGCUGCCACCGAUUCCCUUUUGCUUUUCCCUUUUUUUAUUUUGUGACACCUGUGGUCAAUUAGCCAUUAGAGGGGCUAUUUAUUUAGCUGGCCCGCUCCUGUUCGUGCGGGAUUAAUGAUUGUUUCUUGUGUGACGGCUUGUGUUCAUGUCGACGUUGUUGUACGCCGCAUGUAUUUUCUCCCCUGUGUGUGGGAACAUUAGUUUUUUUUGGUGAGUGUAUAUUAAAAACACCACUACCCUGUGUUCGCUGGUUCCUGCGCCUCAUUCCUCCUCCACAAUUACCAAGCCCUAACAGUUGGCCAAUAGUACCGAUGGCGAAGGCAGAUUAGGCACUCGUCGGCGGAUCCUCACAAGGCACCUCGAUCUCCUUCCGCAAUACCUUUUCAGUCUCUUUCUCCUGCGAAUGACGGGGAAGAACGUGACACCCUUUGUCAUUGUUGUUAAUUUUCUUAGGUUGUCUGCUUGAAAUGUUUAGAUUUGAUAGGAAAGCUGAGAGGUCAAAUAUACUGUUUAGGUUUUCUCCUACCAAGUUUACGCCUUCACUAUUGCAGUGAAACAUUUUGUUGAGGAAGUUGUCUAAAAAGGCUUGAAUUUGUUGUUGCCUAAUUGUUUUUUGGUAGGUUUCCACACUACUUUCCUUCCAUCUAUAGUAAAACUCUAUAGAAACAUCAGUUUUUCAGAACCCUGUCUUUCAAAGAUAAUUCGUAAAAAUCCAAAUAACUUCACAGGUCUUCAUUGUAAAGGGUUUAAGCACUGUUUCCCAUGCUUGUUCAAUGAACCAUAAACAAUUAAUGAACAUGCACCUGUGGAACGGUCCUUAACAGCUUAUAGACAGUAGGCAAUUAAGGUCACAGUUAUGAAAACUGACUCUGAAAAACAACUAAAGAAAGAUGCCCAGGGUCCCUGCCCAUCUGAGUGAACGUGCCUUAGGCAUGCUGCAAGGAGGCAUGAGGACUGCAGAUGUGGCCAGGGCAAUAAAUUGCAAUGUCUGUACUGUGAGACGCCUAAGAUAGGGCUACAGGGAGACAGGACGGACAGCUGAUCAUCCAUGCAGUGGCAGACCACAUGUAACAAGACCUGCACAGGGUUGGUACAUCUGAACAUCACACCUGCGGGACAGGUACAGGACGGCAACAACAACUGCCCGAGUUACACCAGGAACGCACAAUCCCUCCAUCAGUGCUUAGACUGUCCGCAAUAGGCUGAGAGAGGCUGAACUGAGGGUUUGUAGGCCUGUUGUAAGGCAGGUCCUCACCAGACAUCAUCGGCAACAACGUCGCCUAUGGGCACAAACCCACCGUCUCUGGACCAGACAGGAAUCUGGUGCAGUCCAUGAGGAGGAGAUGCACUGCAGUACUUAAUGCAGCUGGUGGCCCUCCCCUUUGUUCAGGAACACAUUAUUCUAUUUCUGUUAGUCACAUGUCUGUGGAACUUGUUCAGUUUAUGACUCAGUUGUUGAAUCUUGUGUAAAUAUUUGUAUGAACAUAACAUGUUAAGUUUGCUGAAAAUAAAAUAAACGAGGUUGACAGUGAGAGGACGUUUCUUUUUUGCUGAGUUUAUUUAUAUUAUUCAGUUCCUUUGGCUUUGAUGCCUCAUGAUUCAGUAUUGCUCUGUUCAAGUAGACUGUGAUUUUGCUGUGAUCUGAUAGGGGUGUCAGUGGGCUGACUGUGAAUGCUCUGGGAGACUCU